AAGUAAAAUGUAAUUUAGAAAAGUAAAGUAUUUAUUUUAGAAUUUAUAAAAACAGAAAAAAAAAUGGUACAGUGGUCAAACAAUAGACAUGGAAGCAAAAACCUUUGGAUUAUUUUAGGGUUUUCUUAAGACAUAUUAAUUACACAUAACAACGUAUUUCAAAGGACAGUUCUUGAAUGUAUAGUGUAUUUUGGUCAUACUUAGGCCCAUAGCCCUUCCCACCCCCUCCACUCUGCUGACCCCUGCUGCUCCCCAGCUAGAUCUCCUGCACCCUCCUGUCUUUGGUCUUCAAGGCCCUGGGGCCAGCCUGCCAGUGAGCAUGCUCUCCCACCUUUCCACUCAAGGCACUCAAGCUGUGACCUUGGGGAAAUGAUAGACCAUCCCUGCCCCUCCUUGCCACAUCAGUAAAUUGGGGAUCAUAGUUCCUGUUUGGGAGGUAGCAUGAUGGCAAGAUGAGAGAGUCACGUGUGAAGGCCUUUGCGGCUUCUCAGCAUAUGGCACCCUUGAAGGAGUCUCCUAUCUCAAAGGGAAAAACCCCAACGGCUGCGUUAAAUCUGUCAGCACCUGGGAAGUUAAACAGUGACGAGACCAGGUGGACCUGCUGUUUGCUUGUUCUUUGGACUUUGCCGUCUCAAUUAAAAAUUGUAACUCUGUAGUUGAAGCAGGGUCUCACUAUGCAGGCCAGGCUCGUCUCUAACUUGAGGCUGACCUCCUGCCUCUGGUUUAGAGUUCUUUGUUCCUGCAGGAUGUCAGGUUGUCUGACUGCCAUGCCGUGUGUAAACAGCACAGGGCAGGGCUGCUGUUUCUCCCCCUCUCGUCCUAGCACUGCCCGUGGACCAGCAUUGCCCGUGGACCAGCAUUGCCCGUGGACCAGCAUUGCCCAGAGAGUAAAUCCUCUCGUCCUAGCUCUGCGCGUGGACCAGCAUUGCCCGUGGACCAGCAUUGCCCCGAGAGUAAAUCCCCUCGUCCCAGCACUGCCCGUGGACCAGCAUUGCCCCGAGAGUAAACCCUCUCGUCCCAGCACUGCGCGUGGACCAGCAUUGCCCGUGGACCAGCAUUGCCCCGCGAUUUGUCACAGUGACCAAAAAUGACUGACAUAAUCUAAGACUGCAAAGUCAAACACCGGAGGCCACGGUCUCUGAAGUGCCUUCCCUCCCUUGAGUUUGACUCUGGUGCGGUGUCUAGGCCCCGACCAGCCCCUGCCUUCCUGGAAUUUAUUCUGCUGGGCUUCUAGCAACAGGACUGCCUGGGAAGACUUGAGAUUGACACCCAGACCCACAGUUCUCACACCCCCUCCACAACCCCCCUUCACAAGUGAGAAGAGCACAGUGAGGUAUCUGGGGCAAAUGUGAGUCAUCUCCUUCAGGGAGGGGGCGGAG
Peromyscus leucopus (white-footed mouse) is the source of this 1379-nucleotide long non-coding RNA. RefSeq lists it as uncharacterized. NCBI's taxonomy places the organism in Eukaryota, Metazoa, Chordata, Mammalia, Rodentia, Cricetidae. The record is from RefSeq and is a predicted model, not a curated record. The transcript has 3 exons.